This 77-nucleotide non-coding RNA is filed under the name pig gut metagenome. RNAcentral describes it as "Glycine riboswitch". It matches the Rfam family "Glycine riboswitch aptamer", at positions 6 to 89 of the family's 94-position model. From Rfam's summary of the family: This family represents the bacterial glycine riboswitch. Glycine riboswitches usually consist of two metabolite-binding aptamers domains with similar structures in tandem. The record is from RNAcentral.
UUGACGCGGGAGAGACCGCUCAUUGCUGGCGGCGCCGACGGGGCACGCAAAAACUCUCAGGCAAAUGGACCGUGUCA